Molecule: long non-coding RNA, 1444 nt
Organism: Oreochromis aureus
Lineage: Eukaryota; Metazoa; Chordata; Actinopteri; Cichliformes; Cichlidae
Source: Ensembl
GCGACCUUCUGUGGCCACGAGGGGGACAAGUAGCUGUCACGUCAAAACGAUGUGCCGUCCAGCUCUUGGAAAACAGAUUUUAAUGGACCAACGAAAAACGUCUAUUGAUAAAUAUGAGGAGAGAAGAGAUGCCAUUGCUUUACCUCCAUACAGAUGAAGACGGCUGAGCUGAAGCGAAGGCCGUUCACAGAAUGACGUCAAGGAUUCCACUUUGAUGGUUCAGACACACCUGUGGAGCAGCAGCGGCUUGACUUCAGGAAGGUUUGAAUUUAUACUUUUGCUCUCAUCCAGUCUGCCUAUUGAGGACUUGCUGUCCAACAUUUCUUUUCCCUGUGACAUAGUGGGACUAGGAGUCCAAAUGUCUGCAUCAUCUUAGGCUUCAGUCACACUGAUAACCCCCCUGGGUAACCACCAGUUGUGAGGGAAAUGUCUAUAUUCUGUGAAUAGUUGCUGCGUGAAAUUUGCUUCAGUUACUAGUAGGUUAUGUCAGUUGCAAGUAGUUUGCUUGCCUGCAAGAUACUGACUUAUCCGCAAACACCAAGUAUUCACCAAGCAGCAGUGAAACUGUGACAAGUGCAACACAGACUAGAAACAGAAAGCACUCACCUUCAAAGUGUGUUAGUGAAAUGUGUCAGAAAAUGUGUCACAUUUUCCUUACUGCGCUUUGUGUCUUUCACGCAAACUACGGGUAGCCAUGGUAAUCUAUUGCUUUGGUAAUUGACCAAAACAGUCGCAAGGAGGGGUUUUUUGCAGAACCCUCUUUGCAGCCAAUUUCACUUGACAGCGGCCAGUAACCUCCAGCAACAAACCACCAAAGAGACACACGUUUUUGCCUUGUGACAUACAACAUACAGCUUUUUUGAAACCUGAGAAGUAAUGAAAUGCUUGUUGAAACUUAAAAUUGACAUAAACAAACUUCUACAUGAUUUGUCUUUACAGGUGACUACUCAGUGUGCCUCAGGGUUGGAGACGAUAUUAUUUCCAGGAGCUCUCAUGAUCCCUCACCACCUCUCUUCAUGUCUUGAUUUCCUGUUCGAGCAUUUCAUCCGCCUUACUUCCAUUAGUUUGUUUUGUCUUUUGCUUAACUGAUGAAGACAUUGUUUUUUCAGUUGUAUUUUUUAUUUUGAUUACGUGCAUAUGCAGCGUAAUGUCCUCGUUGUGCAUAAUCACAUAUGAAAGAUUACUUUGGCAAUUGCAUUUGUGGUGAGUGCUAUAUCAGUUUUCCCACAAUCAAAUCACUCUGAUGAUCAUAUGAUAAAGGAAAGUGUUUGUCUGUGUCGAUCCAUUCCCUAGGAAAUGGUGAUUUCCUUUCCUGUUCACUCACAUUUACAAACUGAAAAUAUGUAAUGGGAGCUUUUACUUGACUAUUCAGCUGGUGUCGAAUUUGACAUGCUUGAAACAGAAAAUGUAAUAAAAUAAAGCUACAUAAAAUAAAAUUAUUUUC